RNAcentral lists this ribosomal RNA (1375 nucleotides) under uncultured beta proteobacterium. RNAcentral's name for it is "SSU rRNA". It matches the Rfam family "Bacterial small subunit ribosomal RNA", at positions 78 to 1455 of the family's 1533-position model. Lineage: Bacteria; Pseudomonadati; Pseudomonadota; Betaproteobacteria. The record is from RNAcentral.
GGCAACCCUGGUGGCGAGUGGCGAACGGGUGAGUAACAUAUCGGAACGUGCCCUGGAGUGGGGGAUAACUAGUCGAAAGAUUAGCUAAUACCGCAUACGAUCUACGGAUGAAAGUGGGGGAUCGCAAGACCUCAUGCUCGUGGAGCGGCCGAUAUCUGAUUAGCUAGUUGGUGGGGUAAAGGCCUACCAAGGCAUCGAUCAGUAGCUGGUCUGAGAGGACGACCAGCCACACUGGGACUGAGACACGGCCCAGACUCCUACGGGAGGCAGCAGUGGGGAAUUUUGGACAAUGGGCGCAAGCCUGAUCCAGCAAUGCCGCGUGAGUGAAGAAGGCCUUCGGGUUGUAAAGCUCUUUUGUCAGGGAAGAAACGGUGGGGGCUAAUAUCCCUUGCUAAUGACGGUACCUGAAGAAUAAGCACCGGCUAACUACGUGCCAGCAGCCGCGGUAAUACGUAGGGUGCAAGCGUUAAUCGGAAUUACUGGGCGUAAAGCGUGCGCAGGCGGUUGUGCAAGACCGAUGUGAAAUCCCCGGGCUUAACCUGGGAAUGGCAUUGGUGACUGCACGGCUAGAGUGUGUCAGAGGGGGGUAGAAUUCCACGUGUAGCAGUGAAAUGCGUAGAGAUGUGGAGGAAUACCGAUGGCGAAGGCAGCCCCCUGGGAUAACACUGACGCUCAUGCACGAAAGCGUGGGGAGCAAACAGGAUUAGAUACCCUGGUAGUCCACGCCCUAAACGAUGUCAACUAGUUGUCGGGUCUUAAUUGACUUGGUAACGCAGCUAACGCGUGAAGUUGACCGCCUGGGGAGUACGGUCGCAAGAUUAAAACUCAAAGGAAUUGACGGGGACCCGCACAAGCGGUGGAUGAUGUGGAUUAAUUCGAUGCAACGCGAAAAACCUUACCUACCCUUGACAUGGCAGGAAUCCCGGAGAGAUUCGGGAGUGCUCGAAAGAGAACCUGCACACAGGUGCUGCAUGGCUGUCGUCAGCUCGUGUCGUGAGAUGUUGGGUUAAGUCCCGCAACGAGCGCAACCCUUGUCAUUAGUUGCUACGAAAGGGCACUCUAAUGAGACUGCCGGUGACAAACCGGAGGAAGGUGGGGAUGACGUCAAGUCCUCAUGGCCCUUAUGGGUAGGGCUUCACACGUCAUACAAUGGUACAUACAGAGGGCCGCCAACCCGCGAGGGGGAGCUAAUCCCAGAAAGUGUAUCGUAGUCCGGAUUGCAGUCUGCAACUCGACUGCAUGAAGUUGGAAUCGCUAGUAAUCGCGGAUCAGCAUGUCGCGGUGAAUACGUUCCCGGGUCUUGUACACACCGCCCGUCACACCACGGGAGCGGGUUUUACCAGAAGUAGGUAGCUUAACCGCAAGGAGGGCGCUU